Potamilus streckersoni is the source of this 71-nucleotide non-coding RNA. The record is from the annotation of a GenBank genome assembly. NCBI's taxonomy places the organism in Eukaryota, Metazoa, Mollusca, Bivalvia, Unionida, Unionidae.
UAAGAUUGCUUAGUGGUUAGAGCGUCAGCCUCGGAUGCGGGAGGUCUCGGGUUUCAUUCCCGGUUGAGUAA